This is a long non-coding RNA of Passer domesticus (house sparrow), 2102 nucleotides long. RefSeq lists it as uncharacterized. The record is from RefSeq and is a predicted model, not a curated record. The transcript is spliced from 5 exons. Lineage: Eukaryota; Metazoa; Chordata; Aves; Passeriformes; Passeridae.
GUCUGAGCAGGGAGAUGGGGCUACACAUUUGGGAAGAGAGUUUCCUCCAUAUCUUGAUCUCUAACAAGGUGUUGGGGGAACUACAGGGAGGUGAAUUUUCCUGAAAGGCAGUUUGGGCCUUUCCCUGAGCAGGGCAGUUCUGCAGAUCCCAGCAUUCACCCUAAGAGUUCCCUACAGCCUUUUUAUCCUUUGUAAUGUCUGGAAGAGAGUACUGCUGUGUUGUGUAAAUGGAGCACUGAGCCCAAGUGGAACCUCCUUGAAGACAAACAAUAAUGAAGUUGUUGCCAGAAAUGCUUCCAGCUGUCUCUAGUAGAGCAGUUCCACAUCCAAUUUUUCUGAUGUGCAGGGAUUUGGCAUGCAGAGCUACAAGUCAUCUGGGACUUGGAUGUUACAAGGACAGUGUCCAAGGUUCAUGGGAACAGUUACACACAUUUUCUUUCUCUCUUAUUUUAAAGUCCUGAAACGAGGCUGAAGGCAGUCAGAUGAAUUUACAGAGGCUGGUGUAGUGUACAUCUAUGCUCAUGGCUCAUUUUCUCUUAAUUGUGGGAGAAAUCCCUUUUGGGUUCACUUUAUAGGAUUCACAAUUCUGUCUCAAUUUAAGAUCUGAAGAGAUGUCAGCAAUGAAACCACAGAAUGGAAAUGUCAUCACGCUGCCCAUCCAGAAUCAUUGCCCAGUACUGGACCCUGCAGGUUGCAUAGAAGUCAUGGAAUGAUAUUCCCAGCUUUGGAGGAAUUCAUCAAGAUUAUACUUGUCUGCAUUUUAACUAUUUUCUUUAGGGUCUUCCUGUCUCCUCUCCAUGUCCACACACACACACAUUCAGGUCAGUAACAAAUAGAUCCAUCCUUUUGUUACUCAAGCAAGCCAUGAGUUUAAGGAAUAAUUUAGUUAUACCUGCUUCUUCUUUUCACGAUUGUUCCACUAUUUGCUUCUACAAAUAGUUUUCUUAUUUUAACACACACAUGCUUUAAUGUACUGAAGCAUUUUGAAGACCAAAUAUGAAAAUGACCUGUACGCCCAAGUAAUUUCAUCACCAUGAGAUACCAUGGCAGUAGAAAAGCAUCAUCAACCACUCUUGGCAGUUCAUAUUUUUCUGGGCUUUAUCUGGUUUGUGGUGAAGUAAUUGCAAAUAUAUCCAUUAACACUAAGUAAACUGACACUCCAAAAUAUCCUCUGGGAGAUGCAAAUAUUACUUUUGGAAGGAAAAAUUAUAUAUUCAUUAUAUAAAAUGCCUCCAGUUGGCAAUGGAAGAAGAAAUGACAGAAGAAAUGACAGAAGUGCUAAUGAUUAACAUACUGGAAGAUGUCUGAUUCUUUAUGAUAUACAAUAAAAUCCCAGGAAAAAAAAAAAUGAAAAGAGACUGAGAACUAGCAUAUUUGAAUAGCAAACUGAAGAUAUAAACUAUGACACAUACCCAAGAUGCAGAAGUGUUUUAUGAAGCAUUAUGCUUUCUGUGUGGGUUUUAUUUAAUACCAAAUCUCAAAAUUCAGGCUAAAACAAUAGGUGUUUUGGGAGGUGUGAUUCUUUAUUGACUGAUAAUUCAUAGAAAAAUAUUAAUUUCCAGGCUCUUUUUUAGUGAGCAGACUUUAGCAACGUCCUUUGGCAUUACUAAGAAUCACUUCAGCUGUAGCCCUCCUAAAGCUCAGCCAAAAAAAUCAUUUGUUCAUUCUUUCAUUGAAAAUCAGUAAGACUUUUGUACCAAAAACUACAUGUAUAUUAGCAUGGAUGGUAACUUUAUUUUUUCACCUCACUUCAAAGUCUUUUGACACAGAGUCAAAAUGCUUAUUUUGAAAAUCUUGACACAAAGGCAUAUAGAAGAUUCAGUUCAAAUAUGCUAGUCAUACCUGUACUUUAAGUCCUAGAAAAAAUCCUGUCUUGAUGGAUUCCUCUUCUCAUAAAAUGUCUCCAACUUUCCAUCUUGCUGAACUACUCAAGUGAAUUAACUUUCACAUUGAUUAUGGGGCCUGGGCUGCUUCACUAUUCAACAAAACAGGCAUAUGAGAUCUCAUAAAUAUGGGUUUUCAUUGCAUUGUUUAUUUUCUGGUUUUGUCUGAAAGUCAUAAUUUUCCACACAAAAUUGUGAAAGAUGAAAUUAAAAAAAAAA